UGCUGUCUGUGGGCAAUCGCGGCAAAACCCCCGGGGGGAAUUUGCUGAGGAAAGUCCGGACUGCAUAGAGCAGGGAGUCCUCUUGAAAAGGAGGAUACUGCGGACCAUACGCCGCAGGAAGACAAGUGCAACAGAAAGAAUACCGCCCGGCAACGGGUAAGGGUGAAAAGGUGGAGUAAGAGACCACCGGGGCAGGGUGAGAAUCCUGUCUGCAAUGUAAACUCCUCCCGCAGCAAGGCCAAAUAGGGGGCGAUGUCGUGGCUCGCGGCAAUAACAGUCCCGGGUACUGGUCGCUCAGACAGAUGAUUGCCGCCGUCUUAUGACGGUACAGAAUCCGGCUUACAUCAGGUAACAUACU
RNAcentral lists this RNase P RNA (358 nucleotides) under Lentisphaeria bacterium. RNAcentral describes it as "RNase P RNA component class A". It matches the Rfam family "Bacterial RNase P class A". From Rfam's summary of the family: Ribonuclease P (RNase P) is a ubiquitous endoribonuclease, found in archaea, bacteria and eukarya as well as chloroplasts and mitochondria. Its best characterised activity is the generation of mature 5'-ends of tRNAs by cleaving the 5'-leader elements of precursor-tRNAs. The record is from RNAcentral. Lineage: Bacteria; Pseudomonadati; Lentisphaerota; Lentisphaeria.